Molecule: ribosomal RNA, 427 nt
Filed under: uncultured Escherichia sp.
Lineage: Bacteria; Pseudomonadati; Pseudomonadota; Gammaproteobacteria; Enterobacterales; Enterobacteriaceae
Description: bacterial SSU rRNA
Rfam family: Bacterial small subunit ribosomal RNA
Source: RNAcentral
AUUGAACGCUGGCGGCAGGCCUAACACAUGCAAGUCGAACGGUAACAGGAAGAAGCUUGCUUCUUUGCUGACGAGUGGCGGACGAGUGAGUAAUGUCUGGGAAACUGCCUUGGAUGGAGGGGGAUAACUACUGGAAACGGUAGCUAAUACCGCAUAACGUCGNCAAGACCAAAGAGGGGGACCUUCGGGCCUCUUGCCAUCGGAUGUGCCCAGAUGGGAUUAGCUUGUUGGUGGGGUAACGGCUCACCAAGGCGACGAUCCCUAGCUGGUCUGAGAGGAUGACCAGCCACACUGGAACUGAGACACGGUCCAGACUCCUACGGGAGGCAGCAGUGGGGAAUAUUGCACAAUGGGCGCAAGCCUGAUGCAGCCAUGCCGCGUGUAUGAAGAAGGCCUUCGGGUUGUAAAGUACUUUCAGCGGGGAGGA